RNAcentral lists this ribosomal RNA (440 nucleotides) under uncultured bacterium. Its description in RNAcentral is "partial 16S ribosomal RNA". It matches the Rfam family "Bacterial small subunit ribosomal RNA", at positions 338 to 795 of the family's 1533-position model. The record is from RNAcentral.
CCUACGGGUGGCAGCAGUGGGGGAUAUUGCACAAUGGGGGAAACCCUGAUGCAGCGACGCCGCGUGUGGGAAGACGGUCCUCUGGAUUGUAAACCACUGUCCCCAGGGACGAAGAUGACGGUACCUGGGGAGGAAGCUCCGGCUAACUACGUGCCAGCAGCCGCGGUAAUACGUAGGGAGCGAGCGUUGUCCGGAAUUACUGGGUGUAAAGGGAGCGUAGGCGGGACUGCAAGUUGGGUGUCAAAUCUACCGGCUCAACCGGUAGCCGCACUCAAAACUACAGUUCUUGAGUGAAGUAGAGGCAGGCGGAAUUCCUAGUGUAGCGGUGAAAUGCGUAGAUAUAAGGAAGAACACCAGUGGCGAAGGCGGAUGACUGGACGGCAACUGACGGUGAGGCGCGAAAGCGUGGGGAGCAAACAGGAUUAGAUACCCCAGUAGUC